AGGAUAAACGCUGGCGGCGUGCCUAAUGCAUGCAAGUCGAACGGGUCAGUCGCAAGACUGGUCAGUGGCGGACGGGUGAGGAACACGUACGAGACCUGCCCUCAGGUGGGGAAUAACCCUUCGAAAGGGGGGCUAAUGCCGCAUACGCUUGCGGGGGUAAUACCUGGCAAGGAAAGGCUGCGUUGUAGUGAGGCAGUCGCUGGAGGAGGGGCGUGCGGCCGAUUAGCUGGUUGGUGGGGUAAAGGCCUACCAAGGCUGUGAUCGGUAGCUGGUCUGAGAGGAUGAUCAGCCACACUGGGACUGAGAGACGGCCCAGACUCCUACGGGAGGCAGCAGCAGGGAAUCUUGCGCAAUGGGCGAAAGCCUGACGCAGCAACGCCGCGUGGGUGAGGAAGGCCUUCGGGUCGUAAAGCCCUUUUCGUGGGGGAAGAGCGAGGGACGGUACCCCGAGGAAGAAGCCACGGCUAACUACGUGCCAGCAGCCGCGGU
This 489-nucleotide ribosomal RNA is filed under the name uncultured bacterium. Its description in RNAcentral is "SSU rRNA". It matches the Rfam family "Bacterial small subunit ribosomal RNA", at positions 26 to 521 of the family's 1533-position model. The record is from RNAcentral.